UACGAAGGUGGCUAGCGUUGUUCGGAUUUAUUGGGCGUAAAGGGUCCGCAGGCGGUUUGAUAAGUCAGGUGUGAAAUCCAACAGCUUAACUGUUGACACGCAUUUGAUACUGUUAGACUAGAGUAUGAGAGGGGUGAGAGGAAUUUCCAGUGUAGGGGUGAAAUCCGUAGAUAUUGGAAAGAACACCGGCCGCGAAGGCGUUUCACUGGCUCAUUACUGACGCUCAGGGACGAAAGCUAGGGGAGCAAACGGG
RNAcentral lists this ribosomal RNA (253 nucleotides) under uncultured bacterium. RNAcentral's name for it is "partial 16S ribosomal RNA". It matches the Rfam family "Bacterial small subunit ribosomal RNA", at positions 524 to 776 of the family's 1533-position model. The record is from RNAcentral.